CCAAUAGCGUAUAUUAAAGUUGUUGCAGUUAAAAAGCUCGUAGUUGAAUUUCGGGACCAAUCUGCCGGUCGUGCCUCCGGUACGCAUUGGUUUUAUUGGUUUCUCCCUUCUGACGAACCAUGAUGUCAUUAAUUUGGUGUCAUGGGGAAUCAGGACUGUUACUUUGAAAAAAUUAGAGUGUUUAUAGCAGGCUCACGCGUGAAUACAUUAGCAUGGAUUAAUGAAAUAGGACGUUUGACCCGAUUUUGUUGUUUUAUAGGAUCGACGUAAUGAUUAAUAGGGAUAGUGAGGGGCAUUAGUAUUCAAUUGUCAGAGGUGAAAUUCUUGGAUUUAUUGAAGACUAACUACUGCGAAAGCAUUUGCCAAGGAUGUUUUCAUUAAUCAAGAACGAAAGUUAGGGGAUCGAAGACGAUCAGAUACCGUCGUAGUCUUAACCAUAAACUAUGCCGACUAGGGAUCGGAUGAUGUUAAUUUUUUAAUGACUCAUUCGGCGCCUUACA
This 500-nucleotide unclassified non-coding RNA is filed under the name uncultured Glomus. RNAcentral's name for it is "SSU rRNA". It matches the Rfam family "Eukaryotic small subunit ribosomal RNA", at positions 591 to 1092 of the family's 1831-position model. Lineage: Eukaryota; Fungi; Glomeromycota; Glomeromycetes; Glomerales; Glomeraceae. The record is from RNAcentral.